CUACACUCCGCGCAAGCUUUAUAGUAUCGUUUCCCGCGGCGACGCUCUCACACACUCCCGCGCCGCUGCACUGAACGUGGUAUCCGAUCCCUCUUCUCGCGCCAGGACCCUAGCAUCCCCUUUCCCCAGCACGAGAUAAGACCACCACUACUACCCUACCACUCUCCGUCACCACCACCACCACCAUCACCACCACUUCUUCCUUCUCCUCCACCACCUCCUCCACCACCACCUCCAUGCUGGCCACCAUGUCGUUCCCGGAGGCCAUAGUGACGUCAUCGUGUGGGCGGGAGGAGGCGGAGCUGAAGGUGGGAGUGGGCGGGACCUUAGGACUAGCCACGCCCACCGCCCACACCCCUGACGCCCCAUCAAGACUCACCACCACUACCACGGCCUCGUCCACCACCACCCACCACCACCACCACCACCCGCCGCCUGCUGACCUCCCCGCCCUCGCCGCAGACCUUCUCCCUCAGGAUAACCUCGCAGACUCCCCUCCGAUAUUCUCACCCCCUGCGCCAGCCACCCCUGUGUACUCCCCUGUGUCUCCCUUCGGCGGUAGAAUUGACACCAAUUACUUCUUCCCGUGUGGUCCUUCCUCCCAUCUCUUCCCGCCCUCCUCCGCCUCCUCCACGCUCUCCACAGCCGGCAGGAGCUCCCCAGAAACAGAGAUCAUCAAGAGCAACCUUCUCGGCUCCAGACUUCGGGACAAGAGGUACGAUUCUGUGGCAGAGUCCGAAGGAGGCUCCGCGUCUGACUGCACGGAAGGGGAACGUUCGCCCACGCAGGUGUAUUCCCCCGAGCUGGAGCGCGAGGGCUUUUCAGGGGUUCGGCACCACCAGCCCCUGGACGUGCUAGGCAUGGACAUUCCCUACGACAUGUACACCACGAGGGGCGGCACGUACACGCCCACCAUGCAGGACGUCACUGGCACGCCCGCAAACAUGUGGACCCAGCAAGCCCAGGAAUAUGGCAUGCAGGAACUCAACACCAUGAAGACCUCCUCGCCAACACCACCGCUUAACUUCACGCAGCGGAUGUACAGCACGGGCCAGGUUCACCAGCGACAGUCCUGCCCCCUGCCAAACGCCACCACCCUGCCGGCACUCAACCAGCUUCAACCCCAGACGCCUCUCCCUCGCACUGCUCUUAAUUACGGAGGCUACGACAUGACGGGAUCCUGGGCCGCUGCUACCGACUCUUACUACGGCGCCCAACAUGCACGCACCGCCCUAAAAGCAGCGGAGGGCGGCGGGCCGCGGGACUCAGGCUGGGAUUGUCGUGAGUGCGCCAACUGCGGCGUGUCCAGCACUCCCCUGUGGCGCCGCGACUACUUCACCGGCCACUACCUGUGCAACGCCUGCGCCCUCUACAACCGCAGCAACGGCGUCAACAGGCCCCUCGGCCGGACUCCCACGCGCCGCCCAUCUGGGCAGCGGCGGUCCAGCCAGAUCUGCACCAACUGUCACACCACAGUCACCUCCCUGUGGCGCCGCAACAGCCAAGGCGACCCGGUGUGCAAUGCGUGCGGUCUUUACUUCAAGCUGCAUAACGUGAACCGCCCCAUCACCAUGAAGAAGGAGAGCAUCCAGACAAGGAAGAGGAAAUCCAAGAACAGGAAUGACAGCAAGCAAUCCUCCACCUCCUCCUCUUCCUCUUCCUCCUCCACCUCCUCCUCUGCUACGAUUGGCGUCACCACCACCUCCUCCACCAUUACCUCCUCCUCUUCCUCUAAUUCCACAACUUCCUCCUCCACCUCCGCCACUGUCCCCGCCACCAGCUCCUCCACCUCCACCAUCUCCUCCUCCAAGUAUCAGCCGUCCUCCUCGCCCUCAGCCAGCUUGUUCGCCAUCAAGACGGAGCCGUCCCUGACCUACCCAGCCAUGUACAGCACCGGCUCCCCGUCCUCCCCCUACAGCCAACACGUGUCCUCGCCCACCGUCUCCUCUGCUUCCCUGCUGGGCGCCAACAUCCCGUCCAUGCUGCCCACCUACUCCCUGCCCAGCGUGAAGACUCCCCCCACCUCGGUGUCCGCAGUGGCAUCGUUGUCUUAUGACGUGAAGGACGAGCCCUUGUCUCCCCGAGCCACCAGCGGCCUGGCGGACCUCCCCAGCCUGGCCCAGAACCACACCAUCGCCCACCAAGUGGCAGGGGUCGCCAAUGUCGCCACGCGGGGCGCUGCCAUGCAGGGGACUUCCGUGGGUCAGACCCAGCUGCCCAUUUCCGUGUCCGCCGCUCGGGCCUGUCUUCUGUGGCUCACUACGCCUCUCCGGGGGUGAUGCUGCCUCAUAUCGUGGCAUCCGGCACCCUGAGCGCUGGCCUACAGGGCCACCCCUCCCCGCUAUCCCCCACCGCGCACCAGCACUCCCUGGAGCACCUCUCGUGGAAGGGCAAGUGAGUAGGCAAGCCCGCGCUGGCAGGGCGCCGCCAUGGCUCGGGGGCGGCACGGUGCUUGUCUGCUGACCUCCACUGAUCCGAGAGAGAGACUUCAGGGUGGCGCGGCGGACGGAGGUUAGAGCUGAGACGCUGAUCCCCUGUGAGGAGCCCAGGCCCCCGGUGUGAGGCUGCGGGGCCGCGCGCCACCUACCCGCGGCCUGCUGGGGCUGCGGCACGAGGCAGCGCCACCACCGCCACCACCACCACUACCACCGCCACACUACCAUUACCACCAUUACUGCCAUUCCCACUACGUCAGGAAGUUAGAUAUUCCAUUAUAAACUUCAACAGAGAGAGAGAGAGAGAGAGAGAGAGAGAGAGAGAGAGAGAGAGAGAGAGAGAGAGAGAGAGAGAGAGAGAGAGAGAGAGAGAGAGAGAGA
Molecule: unclassified non-coding RNA, 2816 nt
Filed under: Portunus trituberculatus (swimming crab)
Lineage: Eukaryota; Metazoa; Arthropoda; Malacostraca; Decapoda; Portunidae
Description: chitinase-like protein PB1E7.04c, transcript variant X3
Source: RNAcentral